UGAUGGGGACACAGAAUGACACCAAGGGGACACUAUGGGGCUGGUGGUGACCCCAUGGUGUCCCCGUGUCCCCGCGGUGCCGUUACCUGCCGCUCGGGGUCCAUCCGGAGCAGCACAUGGACGGCCACCAACACGCGCUGUCCCUGCGCCAUGAUCCCCGCAUGGCACCGCACCGCCACGCAGCUGGUAUUGCCACAGUGACUGACGCUCCCCUCCUCAUCCCAUCGCUGCGUCCCAUUGUGUCGCCCCACAUCGUGGGGUUCAGGUUCUGGUUCUGGUUCUGGUUCAGGUUCUGGUUCUGGUUCUGGUUCUGGUUCUGGUUCUGGUUCUGGUUGUGUCCCCUCCUCCUGUGGCAGUGGGCCCCGCUCAUCCCGGUUCCCCCCGCUCCAUCCCACCCCCGUCCCCUGGUGUCACCCUCACAUUGUCCGGUUCCGGGUUCGUCCCACACUCGAUCCCUCCCUCGGUUCCGAUCUCCACCACGUGGAUCCACACGCGGCCACCGACAACGACAGGGACGCGGAUGUUCAUGGUGACGUUGGUGACGGUGCCCGGUCCCUUAUUGUGCAGCUGUGGGGCGGACAUGGCGGCGCUCAGAGCCGCUUUGGGGUCGUGUCCCCCCCAUCCCCCCCGGUUCCAUCCCGUACCUGGUAGACGUGCUCCACCCGCACCCCGCGAUGCUCCGUCUGGUUGUCGUCCCCAUCCUGGCUCCAUUCGGUGGGCAGCAGCGCGGUGGCGGGCAGCGACAUGCUGGGGGCACACGGGCACAUGUUGGGGAUGUUUGGGGACGUUUGGGGUCCCCACCCGGCCCCGCAGCCCCCGGCCUCACCCCCGCAGCUCCAGCUCCGCGUGCGCCUCCACGGGGACCGAGACGGCCACGGUGAUGGGGCGGCUGUUCUGACUGCGGGGAAUGAGCAGUGAGUGGGUCUGCAAUGGGGACAGUAUGGGGAUAGAAUGGGGAUAGAAUGGGGAUAGAAUGGGGACAAUAUGGGGACAAUAUGGGGACAGAAUGGGGAUAGAAUGGGGACAGUAUGGGGACAGUAUGGGGAUAGAAUGGGGAUAGAAUGGGGAUAGAAUGGGGAUAGAAUGGGGAUAGAAUGGGGAUAG
Molecule: long non-coding RNA, 1104 nt
Filed under: Coturnix japonica (Japanese quail)
Lineage: Eukaryota; Metazoa; Chordata; Aves; Galliformes; Phasianidae
Description: lncRNA (ENSCJPG00005019112.1)
Source: RNAcentral